This 68-nucleotide transfer RNA is filed under the name Phintella cavaleriei. RNAcentral's name for it is "tRNA-Leu". The record is from RNAcentral. Lineage: Eukaryota; Metazoa; Arthropoda; Arachnida; Araneae; Salticidae.
AAUAAAUUGGCAGAAAAUUGCAUUAGAAUUAGAAUCUAAUUAAUCUUACAUUUCCAACAUAUUUAAUU